This 70-nucleotide transfer RNA is filed under the name Asanoa iriomotensis. RNAcentral's name for it is "tRNA-Gln". The record is from RNAcentral. Lineage: Bacteria; Bacillati; Actinomycetota; Actinomycetes; Micromonosporales; Micromonosporaceae.
CACCAGGUGGCGCGGCGGAGGCGCCAGCGGAUUUGCGCCGCUUCGGGAGCGUUGUUUCGUUCCUUUGUGG